AUGCUUACCUGGCAGGGAAUACCAUGACCACCAUGGUGUUUUUCCCAGGAGGAGGCUUAUCCAUUGCACUCUGGAUUUUCUGACCACUGUGAUUUCCCCAAAUGCAGGAAACUGGACUGCAGAGUUUGUGGUAGUAAUGCAAUGCUUUGAACAUUAU
This is a small nuclear RNA of Onychomys torridus (southern grasshopper mouse), 157 nucleotides long. RefSeq annotates it as U1 spliceosomal RNA. The transcript has a single exon. The record is from RefSeq and is a predicted model, not a curated record. Lineage: Eukaryota; Metazoa; Chordata; Mammalia; Rodentia; Cricetidae.